UUAAACUGAAGAGUUUGAUCCUGGCUCAGAUUGAACGCUGGCGGCAUGCCUUACACAUGCAAGUCGAACGGCAGCACGGGUGCUUGCACCUGGUGGCGAGUGGCGAACGGGUGAGUAAUACAUCGGAACAUGUCCUGUAGUGGGGGAUAGCCCGGCGAAAGCCGGAUUAAUACCGCAUACGAUCCAUGGAUGAAAGCGGGGGACCUUCGGGCCUCGCGCUAUAGGGUUGGCCGAUGGCUGAUUAGCUAGUUGGUGGGGUAAAGGCCUACCAAGGCGACGAUCAGUAGCUGGUCUGAGAGGACGACCAGCCACACUG
Molecule: ribosomal RNA, 316 nt
Filed under: Burkholderia cenocepacia
Lineage: Bacteria; Pseudomonadati; Pseudomonadota; Betaproteobacteria; Burkholderiales; Burkholderiaceae
Description: bacterial SSU rRNA
Rfam family: Bacterial small subunit ribosomal RNA
Source: RNAcentral